This 495-nucleotide ribosomal RNA is filed under the name uncultured bacterium. RNAcentral's name for it is "partial 16S ribosomal RNA". It matches the Rfam family "Bacterial small subunit ribosomal RNA", at positions 28 to 507 of the family's 1533-position model. The record is from RNAcentral.
GACGAACGCUGGCGGCGUGCCUAAUACAUGCAAGUAGAACGCUGAAGGAGGAGCUUGCUUCUCUGGAUGAGUUGCGAACGGGUGAGUAACGCGUAGGUAACCUGCCUGGUAGCGGGGGAUAACUAUUGGAAACGAUAGCUAAUACCGCAUAAUAGCAGUUGUUGCAUGACAACUGUUUGAAAGGUGCAAUUGCACCACUACCAGAUGGACCUGCGUUGUAUUAGCUAGUUGGUGGGGUAACGGCUCACCAAGGCGACGAUACAUAGCCGACCUGAGAGGGGGAUCGGCCACACUGGGACUGAGACACGGCCCAGACUCCUACGGGAGGCAGCAGUAGGGAAUCUUCGGCAAUGGACGGAAGGCUGACCGAGCAACGCCGCGUGAGUGAAGAAGGUUUUCGGAUCGUAAAGCUCUGUUGUAAGAGAAGAACGAGUGUGAGAGUGGAAAGUUCACACUGUGACGGUAUCUUACCAGAAAGGGACGGCUAACUACGUG